This 491-nucleotide ribosomal RNA is filed under the name uncultured bacterium. Its description in RNAcentral is "partial 16S ribosomal RNA". It matches the Rfam family "Bacterial small subunit ribosomal RNA", at positions 29 to 506 of the family's 1533-position model. The record is from RNAcentral.
AGUGAACGCUGGCGGUAGGCCUAACACAUGCAAGUCGAACGGCAGCACAGUAAGAGCUUGCUCUUACGGGUGGCGAGUGGCGGACGGGUGAGGAAUACAUCGGAAUCUACUUUUUCGUGGGGGAUAACGUAGGGAAACUUACGCUAAUACCGCAUACGACCUACGGGUGAAAGCAGGGGAUCUUCGGACCUUGCGCGAUUGAAUGAGCCGAUGUCGGAUUAGCUAGUUGGCGGGGUAAAGGCCCACCAAGGCGACGAUCCGUAGCUGGUCUGAGAGGAUGAUCAGCCACACUGGAACUGAGACACGGUCCAGACUCCUACGGGAGGCAGCAGUGGGGAAUAUUGGACAAUGGGCGCAAGCCUGAUCCAGCCAUACCGCGUGGGUGAAGAAGGCCUUCGGGUUGUAAAGCCCUUUUGUUGGGAAAGAAAAGCAGCAGGUUAAGACCCCGCUGUUCUUACGGUACCCAAAGAAUAAGCACCGGCUAACUUCGU